RNAcentral lists this ribosomal RNA (495 nucleotides) under uncultured bacterium. RNAcentral's name for it is "partial 16S ribosomal RNA". It matches the Rfam family "Bacterial small subunit ribosomal RNA", at positions 28 to 507 of the family's 1533-position model. The record is from RNAcentral.
GACGAACGCUGGCGGCGUGCCUAAUACAUGCAAGUACAACGCUGAAGGAGGAGCUUGCUUCUCUGGAUGAGUUGCGAACGGGUGAGUAACGCGUAGGUAACCUGCCUGGUAGCGGGGGAUAACUAUUGGAAACGAUAGCUAAUACCGCAUAAUAUUGACUAUUGCAUGAUAGUCAGUUGAAAGGUGCAACUGCACCACUACCAGAUGGACCUGCGUUGUAUUAGCUAGUUGGUGGGGUAACGGCUCACCAAGGCGACGAUACAUAGCCGACCUGAGAGGGUGAUCGGCCACACUGGGACUGAGACACGGCCCAGACUCCUACGGGAGGCAGCAGUAGGGAAUCUUCGGCAAUGGACGGAAGUCUGACCGAGCAACGCCGCGUGAGUGAAGAAGGGUUUCGGAUCGUAAAGCUCUGUUGUAAGAGAAGAACGAGUGUGAGAGUGGAAAGCUCACACUGUGACGGUAUCUUACCAGAAAGAGACGGCUAACUACGUG